This is a long non-coding RNA of Syngnathus typhle (broad-nosed pipefish), 560 nucleotides long. RefSeq lists it as uncharacterized. The record is from RefSeq and is a predicted model, not a curated record. The transcript has 2 exons. NCBI's taxonomy places the organism in Eukaryota, Metazoa, Chordata, Actinopteri, Syngnathiformes, Syngnathidae.
UACGACGAAAUAAAAUGAUACGACUGACAUAAAACCAAGUACAAAUGACAAAAAUAAAACUCACCAUUACGUUGAAUUAGUGGGAGCACUGAGUUUGUUUCUCAGAAACCAGCCGGUCCCAUCUAGACGUAAUCGGAGACAAUGACACCCGAAGUGAUUAAGAUUACCAAGGCUUCCGGUGGACCUUCUAUUUGGCAUUGAGCAGGAAGAAAGCCCGGGCUCCUACCAAGACUAUGUGGGAAAAUGGAGGAGCAGGAUGAUUGAGGCUUACAACAUCGCCUCCAGGAAUGCAGUUUAGUCAGCCGAUAGAGGUAAAAGACAGUACGACAGGAAAAUCUAUGGUCCACCACUUCAGGUGGGCAGCCGUGUUCUUGUCAGAAAUGUCGUUGAGAAGGGAGGUCCGGGAAAGAUCCGCUCAUAUUGGGAAGACAAGAUUUACGUCAUCAAACACCAAAAGGGUGAGGACAGUCCAGUUUUCGAGUUAGAGCCAGAAAAUGGCACAGGCAGAACAAAGAUCUUACACAGGAAUUUGUUAUUGCACUGUGACUUUGUUCCACUAA